GACCAUGCAGCAGCUAGGAGUGUCACUUUCUGUGGAGAGGCACAAUUGCAGUGGUUUGCCUUGUUCAAAUUUGAUACCUGGACGAUAUCCAGUGAUUAGCUGCUUCAAUUGGCUUUAUUUAAUUGAAUCGGCACUGUUGCGGUGAUUUGCCCUGUUCAAAUAAACACUGGGACGACACUCAGUGAUCAGUCACUUUAUGGGCUUGAUGUAAUCUAAUUGAUUCAGAAUUACUCUAAAUUUCAAAAAGGUUAUACCCAGUGGAUAAUCAGUGAAAAGGGUUACUUCCAAUUCAAUUUAAAUUGAUACCCCAUAUGGUGAAAUUUGGUCCGAUACUAUUUUAAGCAUUGUUAAAUUGCCUUUUUGAAGACACGAUAAGAUGUAUGUCCAUAUUGUGAUUCUUUGAUUAAUACACCCCUGAUGAAGUCUGUAGG
Pseudophryne corroboree (corroboree frog) is the source of this 431-nucleotide long non-coding RNA. RefSeq lists it as uncharacterized. Lineage: Eukaryota; Metazoa; Chordata; Amphibia; Anura; Myobatrachidae. The transcript has 6 exons. The record is from RefSeq and is a predicted model, not a curated record.